UACGAGGGGGGCGAGCGUUGUUCGGAAUUACUGGGCGUAAAGGGCGCGUAGGCGGUCUGCUAAGUUCGGUGUGAAAGCCCCCGGCUCAACUGGGGAACUGCGCUGGAAACUGGCAGACUAGAGUACCGGAGAGGAGGGUGGAAUUCCUGGUGUAGCGGUGAAAUGCGUAGAUAUCAGGAGGAACACCGGUGGCGAAGGCGGCCCUCUGGACGGAUACUGACGCUGAGGCGCGAAAGCGUGGGGAUCAAACAGG
This 253-nucleotide ribosomal RNA is filed under the name uncultured prokaryote. RNAcentral's name for it is "partial 16S ribosomal RNA". It matches the Rfam family "Bacterial small subunit ribosomal RNA", at positions 524 to 776 of the family's 1533-position model. The record is from RNAcentral.